UACUGCGAAGGGGGGACGGAGAAGGCUAUGUUGGCCGGGCGACGGUUGUCCCGGUUUAAGCGUGUAGGCUGGUUUUCCAGGCAAAUCCGGAAAAUCAAGGCUGAGGCGUGAUGACGAGGCACUACGGUGCUGAAGCAACAAAUGCCCUGCUUCCAGGAAAAGCCUCUAAGCAUCAGGUAACAUCAAAUCGUACCCCAAACCGACACAGGUGGUCAGGUAGAGAAUACCAAGGCGCUUGAGAGAACUCGGGUGAAGGAACUAGGCAAAAUGGUGCCGUAACUUCGGGAGAAGGCACGCUGAUAUGUAGGUGAAGUCCCUCGCGGAUGGAGCUGAAAUCAGUCGAAGAUACCAGCUGGCUGCAACUGUUUAUUAAAAACACAGCACUGUGCAAACACGAAAGUGGACGUAUACGGUGUGACGCCUGCCCGGUGCCGGAAGGUUAAUUGAUGGGGUCAGCGCAAGCGAAGCUCUUGAUCGAAGCCCCGGUAAACGGCGGCCGUAACUAUAACGGUCCUAAGGUAGCGAAAUUCCUUGUCGGGUAAGUUCCGACCUGCACGAAUGGCGUAAUGAUGGCCAGGCUGUCUCCACCCGAGACUCAGUGAAAUUGAACUCGCUGUGAAGAUGCAGUGUACCCGCGGCAAGACGGAAAGACCCCGUGAACCUUUACUAUAGCUUGACACUGAACAUUGAGCCUUGAUGUGUAGGAUAGGUGGGAGGCUUUGAAGUGUGGACGCCAGUCUGCAUGGAGCCGACCUUGAAAUACCACCCUUUAAUGUUUGAUGUUCUAACGUGGACCCGUGAUCCGGGUUGCGGACAGUGUCUGGUGGGUAGUUUGACUGGGGCGGUCUCCUCCUAAAGAGUAACGGAGGAGCACGAAGGUUGGCUAAUCCUGGUCGGACAUCAGGAGGUUAGUGCAAUGGCAUAAGCCAGCUUGACUGCGAGCGUGACGGCGCGAGCAGGUGCGAAAGCAGGUCAUAGUGAUCCGGUGGUUCUGAAUGGAAGGGCCAUCGCUCAACGGAUAAAAGGUACUCCGGGGAUAACAGGCUGAUACCGCCCAAGAGUUCAUAUCGACGGCGGUGUUUGGCACCUCGAUGUCGGCUCAUCACAUCCUGGGGCUGAAGUAGGUCCCAAGGGUAUGGCUGUUCGCCAUUUAAAGUGGUACGCGAGCUGGGUUUAGAACGUCGUGAGACAGUUCGGUCCCUAUCUGCCGUGGGCGCUGGAGAACUGAGGGGGGCUGCUCCUAGUACGAGAGGACCGGAGUGGACGCAUCACUGGUGUUCGGGUUGUCAUGCCAAUGGCACUGCCCGGUAGCUAAAUGCGGAAGAGAUAAGUGCUGAAAGCAUCUAAGCACGAAACUUGCCCCGAGAUGAGUUCUCCCUGACCCUUUAAGGGUCCUGAAGGAACGUUGAAGACGACGACGUUGAUAGGCCGGGUGUGUAAGCGCAGCGAUGCGUUGAGCUAACCGGUACUAAUGAACCGUGAGGCUUAACCUUACAACGCCGAAGGUGUUU
This 1511-nucleotide ribosomal RNA is filed under the name Escherichia coli. RNAcentral's name for it is "partial 23S ribosomal RNA". It matches the Rfam family "Bacterial large subunit ribosomal RNA", at positions 1452 to 2925 of the family's 2925-position model. RNAcentral also lists the same sequence under 1 other name. Lineage: Bacteria; Pseudomonadati; Pseudomonadota; Gammaproteobacteria; Enterobacterales; Enterobacteriaceae. The record is from RNAcentral.